GGCGUGCCUAAUACAUGCAAGUAGAACGCUGAAGAGAGGAGCUUGCUCUUCUUGGAUGAGUUGCGAACGGGUGAGUAACGCGUAGGUAACCUGCCUUGUAGCGGGGGAUAACUAUUGGAAACGAUAGCUAAUACCGCAUAACAAUAGGUGACACAUGUCAUUUAUUUGAAAGGGGCAAUUGCUCCACUACAAGAUGGACCUGCGUUGUAUUAGCUAGUAGGUGAGGUAACAGCUCACCUAGGCGACGAUACAUAGCCGACCUGAGAGGGUGAUCGGCCACACUGGGACUGAGACACGGCCCAGACUCCUACGGGAGGCAGCAGUAGGGAAUCUUCGGCAAUGGGGGCAACCCUGACCGAGCAACGCCGCGUGAGUGAAGAAGGUUUUCGGAUCGUAAAGCUCUGUUGUAAGUCAAGAACGAGUGUGAGAGUGGAAAGUUCACACUGUGACGGUAGCUUACCAGAAAGGGACGGCUAACUACGUGCCAGCAGCCGCGGUAAUACGUAGGUCCCGAGCGUUGUCCGGAUUUAUUGGGCGUAAAGCGAGCGCAGGCGGUUUGAUAAGUCUGAAGUUAAAGGCUGUGGCUCAACCAUAGUUCGCUUUGGAAACUGUCAAACUUGAGUGCAGAAGGGGAGAGUGGAAUUCCAUGUGUAGCGGUGAAAUGCGUAGAUAUAUGGAGGAACACCGGUGGCGAAAGCGGCUCUCUGGUCUGUAACUGACGCUGAGGCUCGAAAGCGUGGGGAGCGAACAGGAUUAGAUACCCUGGUAGUCCACGCCGUAAACGAUGAGUGCUAGGUGUUGGAUCCUUUCCGGGAUUCAGUGCCGCAGCUAACGCAUUAAGCACUCCGCCUGGGGAGUACGACCGCAAGGUUGAACUCAAAGGAAUUGACGGGGGCCCGCACAAGCGGUGGAGCAUGUGGUNUAAUUCGAAGCAACGCGAAGAACCUUACCAGGUCUUGACAUCCCGAUGCUAUUUCUAGAGAUAGAAAGUUACUUCGGUACAUCGGUGACAGGUGGUGCAUGGUUGUCGUCAGCUCGUGUCGUGAGAUGUUGGGUUAAGUCCCGCAACGAGCGCAACCCCUAUUGUUAGUUGCCAUCAUUCAGUUGGGCACUCUAGCGAGACUGCCGGUAAUAAACCGGAGGAAGGUGGGGAUGACGUCAAAUCAUCAUGCCCCUUAUGACCUGGGCUACACACGUGCUACAAUGGUUGGUACAACGAGUUGCGAGUCGGUGACGGCAAGCUAAUCUCUUAAAGCCAAUCUCAGUUCGGAUUGUAGGCUGCAACUCGCCUACAUGAAGUCGGAAUCGCUAGUAAUCGCGGAUCAGCACGCCGCGGUGAAUACGUUCCCGGGCCUUGUACACACCGCCCGUCACACCACGAGAGUUUGUAACACCCGAAGUCGGUGAGGUAACCUUUUGGAGCCAGCCGCCUAAGGUGGGAUAGAUGAUUGGGGUGAAGUCGUAACAAGG
This 1470-nucleotide ribosomal RNA is filed under the name uncultured bacterium. RNAcentral describes it as "bacterial SSU rRNA". It matches the Rfam family "Bacterial small subunit ribosomal RNA". The record is from RNAcentral.